RNAcentral lists this ribosomal RNA (434 nucleotides) under uncultured organism. Its description in RNAcentral is "bacterial SSU rRNA". It matches the Rfam family "Bacterial small subunit ribosomal RNA", at positions 346 to 773 of the family's 1533-position model. The record is from RNAcentral.
GCGCAGCAGUCGCGAAUUUUUCUCAAUGGGGGAAACCCUGAAGGAGCGACGCCGCGUGGAGGAUGAAGGCUUUCGGGUUGUAAACUCCUGUCAUUUGGGAACAAGUUGCACACGUUAACUGCGUGGGCAUUGAUAGUACCAGAAGAGGAAGGGACGGCUAACUCUGUGCCAGCAGCCGCGGUAAUACAGAGGUCCCAAGCGUUGUUCGGAUUCAUUGGGCGUAAAGGGUGCGUAGGUGGCGCUGUAAGUCGGGUGUGAAAUUUCGGAGCUUAACUCCGAAACUGCAUUCGAUACUGCGGUGCUUGAGGACUGGAGAGGAGACUGGAAUUCAUGGUGUAGCAGUGAAAUGCGUAGAGAUCAUGAGGAAGACCAGUGGCGAAGGCGGGUCUCUGGACAGUUCCUGACACUGAGGCACGAAGGCCAGGGGAGCAAAC